Mus caroli (Ryukyu mouse) is the source of this 373-nucleotide non-coding RNA. Lineage: Eukaryota; Metazoa; Chordata; Mammalia; Rodentia; Muridae. The record is from RefSeq and is a predicted model, not a curated record.
CUGAGACGAGCGGAAGACCACUCUCUCUGGGACCUAAGGACUCCAAAAUGCUGCUGUAAUGCGGGCUGCCUUAAUCUCUGUGGUUGGAGGUGCAGAAAGAAAAAAGAAACAGAAAAGAGCAAGUUGAAGAGAACCUGAACUCACAAUCUGGGAGCCAGAGAGUAAACAUUGAACAAAAUGUGUCCUGCGGAUUUCUUAAAAAGUCAAAAUAACAAGAUGUUGCCAAAGCUUUAAGUAGCCCUACAAAGGCCAUGAGUAGAGAAAGGUGUUAGCCAAGGACUCACACGGCACCCAAGGCUAAAGCUCUCUAAGGAUAAAGGUAGAAAAUGGAGCACAGAAGGGUUGCCCUUUACCCACAGACACACACCAGGAA